This 73-nucleotide ribozyme is filed under the name uncultured Holdemania sp. RNAcentral's name for it is "HDV ribozyme from F. prausnitzii". It matches the Rfam family "HDV ribozyme from F. prausnitzii". Lineage: Bacteria; Bacillati; Bacillota; Erysipelotrichia; Erysipelotrichales; Erysipelotrichaceae. The record is from RNAcentral.
GCUGCUCUGAUAAGUCACACACCUCUGCGCGGUGAGCAGUAGGCAACGAUCUUAUGAUUGGCUGAGAUGCGAA